GGGGUUGUGGCUUAGUGGUAGAGCGCUCGCUUAGUAUGCAUGAGGUACUGGGUUCAAUCCUCAGCACCA
Molecule: transfer RNA, 69 nt
Filed under: Ictidomys tridecemlineatus (thirteen-lined ground squirrel)
Lineage: Eukaryota; Metazoa; Chordata; Mammalia; Rodentia; Sciuridae
Description: Spermophilus tridecemlineatus (thirteen-lined ground squirrel) tRNA
Rfam family: tRNA
About the family: Transfer RNA (tRNA) molecules are approximately 80 nucleotides in length. Their secondary structure includes four short double-helical elements and three loops (D, anti-codon, and T loops). Further hydrogen bonds mediate the characteristic L-shaped molecular structure. tRNAs have two regions of fundamental functional importance: the anti-codon, which is responsible for specific mRNA codon recognition, and the 3' end, to which the tRNAs corresponding amino acid is attached (by aminoacyl-tRNA synthetases). tRNAs cope with the degeneracy of the genetic code in two manners: having more than one tRNA (with a specific anti-codon) for a particular amino acid; and 'wobble' base-pairing, i.e. permitting non-standard base-pairing at the 3rd anti-codon position.
Source: Rfam by way of RNAcentral